UGCAGUCGAGCGGUAGCACAGAGGAGCUUGCUCCUUGGGUGACGAGCGGCGGACGGGUGAGUAAUGUCUGGGAAACUGCCUGAUGGAGGGGGAUAACUACUGGAAACGGUAGCUAAUACCGCAUAACCUCGCAAGAGCAAAGAGGGGGACCUUAGGGCCUCUCGCCAUCAGAUGUGCCCAGAUGGGAUUAGCUAGUAGGUGAGGUAAUGGCUCACCUAGGCGACGAUCCCUAGCUGGUCUGAGAGGAUGACCAGCCACACUGGAACUGAGACACGGUCCAGACUCCUACGGGAGGCAGCAGUGGGGAAUAUUGCACAAUGGGCGCAAGCCUGAUGCAGCCAUGCCGCGUGUGUGAAGAAGGCCUUCGGGUUGUAAAGCACUUUCAGCGAGGAGGAAGGCGGUAAGGUUAAUAACCUUAUCGAUUGACGUUACUCGCAGAAGAAGCACCGGCUAACUCCGUGCCAGCAGCCGCGGUAAUACGGAGGGUGCAAGCGUUAAUCGGAAUGACUGGGCGUAAAGCGCACGCAGGCGGUCUGUUAAGUUGGAUGUGAAAUCCCCGGGCUUAACCUGGGAACUGCAUUCAAAACUGACAGGCUAGAGUCUUGUAGAGGGGGGUAGAAUUCCAGGUGUAGCGGUGAAAUGCGUAGAGA
This 650-nucleotide ribosomal RNA is filed under the name Pectobacterium carotovorum subsp. carotovorum. RNAcentral describes it as "bacterial SSU rRNA". It matches the Rfam family "Bacterial small subunit ribosomal RNA", at positions 56 to 696 of the family's 1533-position model. Lineage: Bacteria; Pseudomonadati; Pseudomonadota; Gammaproteobacteria; Enterobacterales; Pectobacteriaceae. The record is from RNAcentral.